UUUUUAUUUAUUUAUUUGUCAAUGAAUGUUUGUUGCUGAUGCUAUCUGAUUAUAUGUUUACAUUUUAGUUUCUCUACUUGAUGUUUCUCAAUUACCUUGUCCAAGCUUAGGUUGUCAAAAAGUCCUACUUCCCAGGGAUUUGAAGAAGCUGGAUCAAUACUCGCUUCAUCUCCUUGUGUUAGUUGCGGGACCUGCAAACAUGGUAGAAGGUCCUCCCCUUCCCCUUUCUCAUUUUCAGCCAGUCAACCAGAGCUGAGAGAGAGGGAGGCAUGGCGAUUUGGAAGGCCCCCCCCUCGCCGCCGGCUCCCCCUCCCCGCCCUCUCCCUGCUGCAUCUCUCCCGUCUGUUCGAGGAUGCUUCAUGUGUUGGUCGCUUCUCAGAUGUGUUUCUAUCGAUGUGUGUUAUGUGUUUGGCGCUCAAAUCUAUUGUUUAUUCCCUCUUGUUAGUUGCAUUUAGCUGUGAUAGGUCCCCACAGGUAUGAUGUAUGUGGUUGUGUUGUCCGUGCGCUUGAUUUAGCUGUGUAUCGUGCAUUCAGGUUGCUAGCGGAUUGCUUCCUGUUGUGUUGGAUUGAGUCUGGAUUUAUGUUCUAAUGAUAGAUAUGACAUAGUUUGUUAUGUCAGUGAUUGCCCGGUCUCGUUUCCUAAUUGAUAGAAAUGAUUUUGUUGGGUGUGACUAGUAGUAACUUACUGGUAUAUUGGUCUCUAAUCCUAUGUUGGUGCAAUUGUUGUUCUUGUGUUUAGAGGGUGUUCAUUUCAUUCAGUUUGUAGUUAAGUUUGCUGUCUAGCCUUAGUUUGUUAUGCCUGCAGUGUAAUUGUGAAUUUCUCUUCUAUUUACAGUCAUCUUAAGGUCUUUUUACAGUGUCUAUGCCGCUGUAAUUUCUAUGACUUUUUCACUAUUUGUUGGGUAAUACAAUUUUUUAACAUGAUAUAUGCAUUAAGCUUUGUUUUCUAUUUUACAGUCUCCUUAUUGUCUAUUUACAGUGUAUAUGCAACUAUUGUAAAAACAAUUUCUCUUCUAGUACAGCAUCUUAAGGACUUUUUACAGUGCGAAUAGAAAUAUUCUAACUUGAUAAGCACAAUAAUUUUGGCUUAUCUAACACUAUAAUUCCAGUCAUCUAGAACUGUAUUUCAAAUGUAAUCCCCACUGUAAUCUCUAUUGAUCAGCAAUGUAAUUCUAGUGGUUUGCUACUGUAAUUCUAGUGGUUUACUAUUGUAAUGUCUAUUGGUUUUUGUAAGUUUUAUUUGAUAAGCACUGUAAUUCUACUGAAUUUUCUACUGUAAUCUCUAUUGGUUUUGAUUGUAAUUUCUCUUUUUAGCUCUGUUUUUGUAUUUGUAAUUUCCAUUUUUUUCCUGGAUUACUACUGUAAUAUAAGAUGCAUGCCUUUGUAAUUAUCUUGCUUGCCAGUAUAAUUCAUUGGUUUUUAGUUGAUUUCGACUUUAAUUUAAGUUGAUUUGCAAUGUAAUUUUAAGUUGUUUCCCACUGUAAUCUCUGUUGCCUUUUUAGUGUAAAUUAUAUCUUGCUCUUCUAGUACUCCCUCCGUAAACUAAUAUAAGAGUGUUUAGAUCACUAAAAUAGUGAUCACUAAAAUAGUGAUCUAAACACUCUUAUAUUAGUUUACAGAGGGAGUAAUUUUUAAUUUUCAUGCCGUUUGCAUCUGCCUCUGUAUCUUCAGUGCGAAAUGCACUGUAUUCUCAUCUUGCUUAUUAAUGUAUUUCCAGUGGUUUAGCAUUGUAAUUUAAAUGUAAUUACAUAGUUAUUUUCCGCGGGUUUACUAUUGUAAUCUAUAGUGAUUUUUCCUGUAAUUAGCCUGGUUUAGUUAUGUAAUCUUCUUGUUAGUAUUCUGUUUUCUUGAUGAAUGUGCUAAUGUGAUUUCUUCAUUGAUGAAUGCUUCGCCAUUCUGAGUUGCAUGCCCAUCUCAAGUUACAAAGGCAGGCAACAUAUAACCCUGCUCCUCCAGUGUGCAUUGGCAGCAAGAAAGAAAGUAGGUUUCUAGCGAGCUAUUUUCAUGUUAGUUGUGUUUCCUUUUUGUUUUUUAAGUUGUCUGCCAUUGUAAUUUAUGUUGCUUGCCAGUGUAUUCCAUUUCCAUUUACUGUAGGCCUGCCUUUGAAAUUUUAGUUGAUCGCCUCCAUAAUUUAUGUUGCUUGUGAGUGUAUAUUUUCUCUUACUGUUUAUAUUCAGUGAUAGUAGCGUAAGCAGUUUAGUGUAUUCUUUUUGUCUACUAAAAUGCAACUUGAUUCUAGAACAAUAGGAACUACCCAUGAAGUAAUUUCAUUUGUAAAAUGUAAUAAGCCCGAAUGCAGUAAAGCGUGGACUAUGCAUGCCUGAAUUUUUUACAAGAUUUUCGAUAGUAAUUGUCUUACAGAACUACAGUAUUUUUUUCAACCAUAGUUCUUGGUGUCUUUUCCAGUCUAGUCUUUCAAGUUUUGUACUGUUUAUUUUGGACAUUCGUACAGUGCCUAUGUUUCUGAAUUACAUUGUAAUCUAACUUGUAAUUAACAAGCCAGGAUGCCGUAAAUAUUAUAGUCACAGUAAUUGCAAAGAGAAGCUCACAGCAAGUUGAUCGAGAAGUCACGGUAAUUUGAGCUCUUGUAUAGUGCCAAAGUUUCUGAAAUUCUGUCUUUUGUUCCUUGAAUUUUUGUUUGAUCAUUUCCCAAUUGAUUUAUAUGAACAUCUUUCCCCCCUUAGUCUCUUGACCCUACACUGUGUUGCUUGGUUCUUCUAUCUUUUCUGUAGCAUCUAAGAAGAUUUCCAUAGUUCGAACGCCAAUUAGUAUCAGUGCAUAGCCUGAUUUUUUCAGUCUAUUUUGUGAACAUUAGUUUCAGUGUGAACUUCUUUGUAAUUUCAAUUAAACUUCACAGUAAUUCAAACUUCAAGUCACAGGAAUUUGUAACAGUGAGUUUCUGGAAUACAGUUUUUUGUUCCUAGACUUUUUGUUUGAGCAUUUUCACAGUUGAUCCACAACUUUCUGAUCAUGUUUUCUUCUUGAUCUGACUAGUUUUCUGCCUGUGCAACUAUUCUCUCUCCUUCCUCCAUCCUCUUCCUCUUUCUUAUCUGAUCAUAAAUCACACAUUGUUUCUGGUUUCUCUUUAUUUUUACUGAAGUUCCAAUAUCUUUGUUGUAAUUUGGCUGUAGUGACUGUAAUUUUAGUAAAAUGAGCAUUGUAAAUUCAUCGAAACUGAAUAUGUGAUACGCUAUAGAGGUUCACUGUAAACUUCAACUGAAGCCAUUGUAAAUACAAAAGUAGCUGCAAUUUAAAGUGUAACUGUAAAGCUUAAUGAUGAUGAAAUUUUCAGUAUGUGAUGAUUAAUUUACAGUAGCUUGUUGAUAAAUUUACAGCAGCCACAUGAUGAAUUUGCUGGUCUUUUGAUGAAUUUACAGUAUUUGUUGAUCAUUUUACAGCAGGUUGAUGAUGAUUUUACAGCAGCCUAAUGAUGAAUUUACAGUAUGUUUGUGUUCAGGAGUUUCUUCCACAAGUAUCAACUUGAGAUCUUUGAUGAUGCCAUGAGAAUUUCGUGUUCUCUUCCAAAAGUGUGUGAAGAAGAACAAAAAAUGUCAAUAAUCUAGAGAAGGUUGUGAGUAGUGACCUGGCAGUGUUGCUUUUUGGGCCCUUGCGUUGCUUACUCAUGGAUAGAGCGCACAGGUCAUACAAACAUGUGUCACAUUUGUAGUGCCUGAUAAAAUUGAUUGAAUGUCUCUUUAUUUUCAGUCAAAGUUUUUGCCCGUUGGACAUGUGACAUACAUACAGAUAGGUGUCAGAUUGUUACUGGUUGGCAUAUUUGAUUGAAGGCCAGUUCAAUUUCAGUGAAUUGUAAUAUAGACACUCGUUUUUUUUAACUUAAUAUAUAGCUGGAACACUGCUUA
Molecule: long non-coding RNA, 3860 nt
Organism: Aegilops tauschii subsp. strangulata
Lineage: Eukaryota; Viridiplantae; Streptophyta; Magnoliopsida; Poales; Poaceae
Source: RefSeq, a predicted model, not a curated record